CCACGCCCAUGCUUGCCUAGGAGGGCCGGAACUCGAAGCUCACUGACUUUGUUCAAAAUCAGGCUUGAUUUGAGCCAACUUCUCGAGAGAGAGUGAGAGGAGAUGACGAUAGAAGAGGCAGCAGGCCCCGCCGGACCAAAGGUUCUCCGAUUGCUGUAUUUCGUCGGCGCCGGAUUUAUAUGCACUGUGGCGAUCAACAAGUGGAGAGAAGUUGAAAGGAAAUCCAUUCAGAAACAGCACCAACAACAAUCCCACCUCCCUCCAAAUUUGUUGCCCCAAAGCUCUCCAAAUGCCGUUCAAAAACCCACCAAGUGAUCUCUCAGGUGCUCUCUCUUUCUUUCUUUUGCAAUGAUUGGCGUUUGUAGCAACUGUUGUAAUAGUGAGGUUCGUUGUGAGGCUAGAGCUCAUAGAAUUGUUUCAAAGAGAAGGCUGGGAUAAGAGGCCAGCUUAAUUGUGCUAAUAAAUAUUCAUCUAUUUUGUGGUUAAACUAGAAUUUUGUCAGAAUUUCUUGGCUUUUCAUUUUUUUUAAUUUCAUAUUAAUUGUAUUGAAUUUUUUACUGAAUUUGUUUUUAAUUUUCAAUUUGCAGACAUUAGAUUUCCGGUUCUGUUAUGGAGGAUUUUAUUGAAUUUUGUUCUGAAUUUUAUCACAAAUAGACUUCAAUUGACAUACCAAUGGCUUUCCAUUCCUGUUAUAUUAAAUAAUUGGACCAUGAUUUUUCAAUUUAAGUGGCUAGUCAUUUGCAGUGCAGCUUUCCCAUUGUUGGUUUUCACUUGCUUGGUUUUUUCAGCAAUUGUUGGUUUUGCUUCCCUUGCAUUGUGUCAUGGGUGUGGGGUUGAGUUUAUUUUGUCUAUUUAUCCCUUCAUGACUUCGUUAUUUUUCUAUAUUUUUGAGCUUGAGAUAGGGCAAUAACAUACUUGGGGUUGUAAACAAGCGAAGCCAAGCCAAAGUACCAUCACCUUCAAGUUUGGUUUGUUUGAAUAUUUUUCUAGCUCAAGCUUAACAUCAAGCUCAAAUAUUGAUUCAAGCUUUGUUUAUUAAUUUGUCAAUGUAAUUGGCUAAAAAAAAAGUAGAUUUUUGUUCUAUUUUUUAUUUUAAUAAUUACUAAAUAACAUGCAUUCAUAGUAUUUUAUAUUUUCAGAAUUUGUUUCCAACCUAAUGUGUGUUUAUUGUUUACCUGUUUCUAUAAAUUAUCAAAUAAAAGAUAUUUCAAAUAAUUUUAGAAAACAUUUAUGUUAAAAACUAAUUUCUAGAUGCUUACAAGCAUUCAAGUCAGAGCGUAGAAGUGGUUGAGAUUUUUUAUUAAGACAAAUUGAGAAAUCUAUGAUCGCCGUUAGUUUAUCUAGUUUACAAAUAAUUAAGCUUGAAUGAGUUAGCAUCUUAACAAGUGGAAUUUGAGAUAGUAGUUUUUACUAUCCUUCUCACAUGGUGUUUUCUUUGUUAGCUAUGUGUUUGUGACAGUGCUUAUAUGAGUAUUAUUGUGUUCAAAAACUAGCUUUAUAUUGGAAAUUCAUUGUUGAUGUAAAAUGAUACAAUAUAAGAAGUCCUGACUCCUGACUGAUUGAAAUAACGUUACAGCUACAGGAAUUAAAAACAUGCUUGGAUUGCAGGCUUGAGCCCCCAAAUGUCAAUCCUAAGAGAGAAAUGCAGAACUAACUUAUCAGAAAUUGAAGUGGUAUUAAACAUAGAUAUAUGCAUGGGAGAUAAAAAUAAUGUUGAAUCAAACAUCACUGUAAAGUUGAAGCAAAAGCCUAACCUAACCACUAUUCUUCCUAGAAAGUGCAAUAAGGUAUUUGAACAGGGAAUUAUAGGCUUUAUUGUCUUCUUGACUCUGUCCUUUUAUAAUGUACAAUAACAUUUCUACUGCAAGACAGGAAAGUUCAAUUUUUAUUGUAUAAAAAGUUAUUAUUUGGGAGUUUUGGGUUGAUUUCAAUCUCCCAAUACAGAAAAUUUCCAUAGAAAUUGCCUACCGACAUUUACGAUUUCUUAUUUUUCAUAUAUCAACAGUUCAUUAA
This 2013-nucleotide unclassified non-coding RNA is filed under the name Hevea brasiliensis (rubber tree). The record is from RNAcentral. Lineage: Eukaryota; Viridiplantae; Streptophyta; Magnoliopsida; Malpighiales; Euphorbiaceae.